UGAAUCACACAAAGGCAACUUUU
RNAcentral lists this non-coding RNA (23 nucleotides) under Cricetulus griseus (Chinese hamster). Its record names the gene cgr-miR-377-3p. Lineage: Eukaryota; Metazoa; Chordata; Mammalia; Rodentia; Cricetidae. The record is from miRBase by way of RNAcentral. RNAcentral also lists the same sequence under 2 other names.